RNAcentral lists this long non-coding RNA (1091 nucleotides) under Homo sapiens (human). RNAcentral's name for it is "HSALNT0314431". The record is from RNAcentral. Lineage: Eukaryota; Metazoa; Chordata; Mammalia; Primates; Hominidae.
GCAACACCACACAUUCCCAGAACGCUUACGCUGGGCCAAAUUCAGCCUGUGCCUCUCCACAGCCAAUCCUGCACUUGCCGGCCCCUAACUCUGUAGCUGCACACAGGGCCUGGGCACUUGAGACCUCAGACUCGCCACCGGCUCCUCAGAGCCCCUGCCCAGGUCACCUGUGUAAGGAGAACACAGUGCCAAUGCAGCACAGCAUAGUGACACCCGGCCUGCCGGGAUUUAGCCCCCACCCUACCUAGCGGUUCUGGAGCUGCCACUGUGACCCAUGCAGGGUCGAGCAUCCCAGCUUCUUGCAGAACUAUUGCUACAGGGCCAUCAGCAUGUGACACUAGGAGACUGUGCCAUGUCAUCCUUAUGUGGGUCUGGGUCACAGCCGCCCAUCUGCUGUGCUCCCUGGCUGCCUCUUUUGUGAAAAAGAAGGUGAGGAGGACCAGCGAGGAGACACGCCCACUCCAGGGGAACACCUCCUCCCACAGGAACUCUCUUGUGGCCACAUCCAGUUGCAGAAGAGGCUGGGAAGUGUGCACCAUGGCUGUACCCAGCUGAAAAGGAGGCGAGAAUAGAUAUUGGGAGGCGAGUGUGUGUGCCGAGACCCUGCUUCUUUCCUGCAGGGUCUGUAGUCAUAUGUUCAUGUAGCACUGGCCUGGGUAUUUCAUAUCUCUCCCUGACAAAGUCAGGGCCUGGAGAGCAGGGAGCCCCCACCUGCUUACAGGGGUCCCCUGUACCUUGCACAGUAUCUGGGAUACAGUCAGUAGAAGCUCAGGAAAUAUUUGCUAAACGGGUAGAUAAAACUAGUCCUGGACUCCUCCCUUUGCUCUCCUCUGAUCAAACCUUUAGGAUAGAGCCCCUUCUUUCGCAUUCCCUACCUUUUAUUCUCUCUGGAGAAGACCUCUGGGGCUUUCCCUCCAGGGGCUUCAUGUUUCCAGCUGCUCAGUGAUUGGGCCUGGAUGUUCAGACCCCUCUCCCUCCCAACGGCUGUGCAGGGAUUAUAUCACGGGGUUUGAUGUGCAGAUGCUGGGGGUAGGGGGAGGGCUGGUAUGAAUUGGAACUGACAGAUUCCAGCGUGAAGAUGGCCUGAGUCC